UAAAUAAUAAACUUUUUAGGUGCCUGUAAUAUAUUACGGGAGAAUAGGGAAUCAGGUGAAAAUCCUGCAGCGGACCCGCCACUGUAAGCAGGGAGCUUUCACAAUUGCCACCGAAGAUACAAGUCUUUCGGGAAGGCGUGAAUCAGCAUUGAACUGCAAGCCAGGAGACCUGCCUAAAAAUGUUUAUGAGU
Molecule: non-coding RNA, 191 nt
Filed under: Tepidanaerobacter syntrophicus
Lineage: Bacteria; Bacillati; Bacillota; Clostridia; Thermosediminibacterales; Tepidanaerobacteraceae
Source: RNAcentral